Molecule: ribosomal RNA, 433 nt
Filed under: uncultured bacterium
Lineage: Bacteria
Description: partial 16S ribosomal RNA
Rfam family: Bacterial small subunit ribosomal RNA
Source: RNAcentral
AGCGAACGCUGGCGGCAGGCCUAACACAUGCAAGUCGAACGAACUCUUCGGAGUUAGUGGCGGACGGGUGAGUAACACGUGGGAACGUGCCUUUUGGUUCGGAAUACCUCAGGGAAACUUGUGCUAAUACCGAAUGUGCUCUUCGGGGGAAAGAUUUAUCGCCAUUAGAGCGGCCCGCGUCUGAUUAGCUAGUUGGUGAGGUAACGGCGCACCAAGGCGACGAUCAGUAGCUGGUCUGAGAGGAUGACCAGCCACACUGGGACUGGGACACGGCCCAGACUCCUGCGGGAGGCAGCAGUGGGGAAUCUUGCGCAAUGGGCGAAAGCCUGACGCAGCCAUGCCGCGUGAAUGAUGAAGGUCUUAGGAUUGUAAAAUUCUUUCACCGGGGACGAUAAUGACGGUACCCGGAGAAGAAGCCCCGGCUAACUUCGUG